CUCUUAUCGAGAGUGGUCGAGGGACUGGCCCUAUGACACCCAGCAACCGGCAGUAAUGCAGUGGUGCUAAUUCCAGCAGGAUAAUUAUCCUGAAAGAUAAGAG
Pelosinus sp. is the source of this 103-nucleotide regulatory RNA element. It matches the Rfam family "SAM riboswitch aptamer (S box leader)". From Rfam's summary of the family: The SAM riboswitch is found upstream of a number of genes which code for proteins involved in methionine or cysteine biosynthesis in Gram-positive bacteria. The SAM riboswitch acts at the level of transcription termination control. The record is from Rfam. Lineage: Bacteria; Bacillati; Bacillota; Negativicutes; Selenomonadales; Sporomusaceae.